Pelobates cultripes (western spadefoot toad) is the source of this 1281-nucleotide non-coding RNA. The record is from the annotation of a GenBank genome assembly. NCBI's taxonomy places the organism in Eukaryota, Metazoa, Chordata, Amphibia, Anura, Pelobatidae.
CUUAGAAUUAUCUAUGAUUUUCUUUACUGUUGCAUUAUUCAGCCAUAGGAUAAUAUUAUAAUUCUUCAUAUCCAAAAUCUUUUGCUCAAUCAUAUACCAUUCUUCUGAUCUAGAUGGGAAUGAAUGUAUAGCGUGUAAAUGCAACAUUGCAUAUGUUCGACUAAAAACCCACAUGUUGGGAAAACCCAUUCCCCCACUAGAUUUAUCAUCAUAAAGGACCUUUUUUGAGAUUCUUGGUUUCUUGUUUAGCCAUAUAAAUUUUUCUACUGCCAUUUGAAAUUGUAUACAAAAAAAGGAAGGAAGUUGAAGAGGGAUUAAUCUCAAGUUAUAAAGCCAUCUAGGUAAUAUGUAGGAUUUAAUAAUAUUAAGUUUGCCCAUCCAUGAUAUGGGCAAUUCUCCCAGUUUUUUAAAAAGGUCAUUUAAUAGAUCUUGAUAAUUCAAAUCAAUUAUAUGUGAAAGGUCCUUUGCGAUUUUUAUCCCCAAGUAAUCAAUACACUUAUCUUUCCACAUACAUUGAAAUUUAUACCUAGGUAUGCUCAUUCUAUCUUCAUUGAUUCCUACUCCCAUUGCUUGUGAUUUAUUGAUAUUAAGUUUGUAAUUAGAGUAAUCCCCGUAUAUUUUGAUCUCUUUUAAGAGAGCAUCUAUCGAGGUUUCAGGCUGGGUUAAUAUCAGCAGAAUAUCAUCCGUAUAGAGACUAGCUUUAUUCAUGGUAUCACCAAUAGAGAUGCCCAUAAUUUCUUUAUUAUUCCUGAUUCUUGCUGCCAGAGGUCCUCGGGUCAUGAUGUUAAAAAAAAGGGGCCAAAGGGCAACCCUGUCUGGUACCAUUCCUAACUUUGAACCAGUGGGAGGAAAAGCCUUUCCCACUAUCUUAGCUGUCGGUUCAGAAUACAAGGCCAUAAUACAUUUUAUUAUUUUAUCACCAAAAUUAAAACUUUAAGAAUUGUCUCCAAGAAAGCCCAGUCCACCCGAUCAAAUGCCUUUUCCGCAUCCAGAGAGAGAGUUACCAUAGAGAUAUUAUUAUUCAGGGCGAAAUCUACUAUAUCUAUGAUUUUUCUUGUGUUACCAUAUGGUUGGCGUCCACUAACAAACCCGACUUGAUUUUUAUGAAUUAUAAGUGAUAUUACCUUUUUAAUUGUCAGCUAAAAUUGCAGAAAUUUUUUUAUAUCACUAUUAAUUAAAGAAACAGGUCUGUAAUUAGAUACCAGCUUCACAUCUUUCCCUUGUUUGGGAAUUGGAAUAAUGAUUGCUUGGAGCAAUUCGCUAGGGAAUGGUUUAUUUUCC